AGCCCCGGGGUGUUACACACUAGAUUGCAAACCUAGGGAAGUAGGCUCAUACCCUGCCGGGGCUU
This 65-nucleotide transfer RNA is filed under the name Aphredoderus sayanus (pirate perch). RNAcentral's name for it is "tRNA-Cys". It matches the Rfam family "tRNA". Rfam says of the family: Transfer RNA (tRNA) molecules are approximately 80 nucleotides in length. Their secondary structure includes four short double-helical elements and three loops (D, anti-codon, and T loops). Further hydrogen bonds mediate the characteristic L-shaped molecular structure. tRNAs have two regions of fundamental functional importance: the anti-codon, which is responsible for specific mRNA codon recognition, and the 3' end, to which the tRNAs corresponding amino acid is attached (by aminoacyl-tRNA synthetases). tRNAs cope with the degeneracy of the genetic code in two manners: having more than one tRNA (with a specific anti-codon) for a particular amino acid; and 'wobble' base-pairing, i.e. permitting non-standard base-pairing at the 3rd anti-codon position. The record is from RNAcentral. Lineage: Eukaryota; Metazoa; Chordata; Actinopteri; Percopsiformes; Aphredoderidae.